RNAcentral lists this ribosomal RNA (253 nucleotides) under uncultured Parabacteroides sp. RNAcentral describes it as "partial 16S ribosomal RNA". It matches the Rfam family "Bacterial small subunit ribosomal RNA", at positions 524 to 776 of the family's 1533-position model. Lineage: Bacteria; Pseudomonadati; Bacteroidota; Bacteroidia; Bacteroidales; Tannerellaceae. The record is from RNAcentral.
UACGGGGGAUGCAAGCGUUAUCCGGAUUUAUUGGGUUUAAAGGGUGCGUAGGCUGUAAGGUAAGUCAGCGGUGAAAGUUUGUGGCUCAACCAUAAAAUUGCCGUUGAAACUGGAAGACUUGAGUGUGUUUGAGGUAGGCGGAAUGCGUGGUGUAGCGGUGAAAUGCAUAGAUAUCACGCAGAACUCCGAUUGCGAAGGCAGCUUACCAGUCUGCGACUGACGCUCAGGCACGAAAGUGUGGGUAUCGAACAGG